RNAcentral lists this ribosomal RNA (253 nucleotides) under uncultured bacterium. RNAcentral describes it as "partial 16S ribosomal RNA". It matches the Rfam family "Bacterial small subunit ribosomal RNA", at positions 524 to 776 of the family's 1533-position model. The record is from RNAcentral.
UACGGAGGGUGCAAGCGUUAAUCGGAAUUACUGGGCGUAAAGCGUGCGUAGGCGGUUUGUUUAGUCAGAUGUGAAAGCCCCGGGCUCAACCUGGGAACUGCAUUUGAUACUGGCAGACUAGAGUAUGGUAGAGGGGGGUAGAAUUCCUGGUGUAGCGGUGAAAUGCGUAGAUAUCAGGAGGAAUACCAGUGGCGAAGGCGACCCCCUGGGCCAAUACUGACGCUGAGGUACGAAAGCGUGGGUAGCGAACAGG